This 253-nucleotide ribosomal RNA is filed under the name uncultured bacterium. Its description in RNAcentral is "partial 16S ribosomal RNA". It matches the Rfam family "Bacterial small subunit ribosomal RNA", at positions 524 to 776 of the family's 1533-position model. The record is from RNAcentral.
UACAGAGGUCUCAAGCGUUGUUCGGAUUCAUUGGGCGUAAAGGGUGCGUAGGCGGUAGUGCAAGUCAGGUGUGAAAUCCCGGGGCUCAACCCCGGAACUGCACUUGAUACUGCUUUACUAGAGUACUGGAGAGGAGACUGGAAUUUACGGUGUAGCAGUGAAAUGCGUAGAUAUCGUAAGGAAGACCAGUGGCGAAGGCGAGUCUCUGGACAGUUACUGACGCUGAGGCACGAAGGCCAGGGGAGCAAACGGG